UUUCACGCAUAAAAAAAAGUCUGUGGUAUGGCAUUGGUACACACCUUUUGUUUUCCUGACCUCUUUUAUUGCACCUCUGAUCACACCCAGAAUUACAGUUGCGUGUGGUGACACCUAAUUACAUUUAUAAUAACACAGCUGACGUAGGUGUACUGGCACUGAAGCAAGACAAAAACCGCGUAGGCAUUCAUAAUAUAUUUAUUUUGACAGGUUUGCUGUUGUGCAAUAAGUCUUUUACUUUAGCUGCUUCAAAACACAGACUGGGACAGUGGGCAUCAAUGAUUGAGAGUGACAAUGAAUAUUAUGUAUAUACGUUUCUGUUCUUGCAAAAAAGAUUGACAUCCCUUUUUUUUAACUUAAGUGACGUUUAUUCAUGGCCAUUAUUAGGGUCAGAUUGUGUUUGUUUUAUAUUUCUUUACCCAAUGAAUUGUUUUCUUUGCUAUUUUCAAGCAUUACUAACAUUUUGACUGAUUCUUUAGGCUUUUGUAGAAAAUAUCAAAAAGUUAUGCUUUAAACAUUGUCAUGGUUUUUAACCAUUUCUUGUUUAGUUUAGUUGCCCUUACAUGCUUAUAUACAUUGGUUUCAUUUUGUAAAUAUAGUUGUGUUUGUUAUUAUUUAUUUGAUUCAUGUUUGUUCAUUUAUUUUUUAUUCACUUGUUACAACCAUUUCAAUUCAACAGGAAUUAAUGGAAACAGUGUUUCCCUGUUAGGCAUUAUGAAUGUAAAUUAAAGGCCAUAUUGUGGUAAUCUACAGUGUUCCUUUGCACUUAAAUUAUUUUGAACAUAUCCUGAAUAUUGCAGUAGUGGUCCAUAGUGAAUUUCUAUUUUAUGAAGAUGUGUCCCAAAACAAAAUAAAUUUAGAAAAGAAAAACUAUGCUAUAUAUUUGCAGACAUGUAUAAAUUACCACCAGUCUCACAGUUUCAUAAAACUAAAGAAUGUCUGUGAAAUUAUGCACUGUAUGUGGUCUGAUGGUCUGGCUUAUGGUAAAUUAGAUUGUAUUUUGCAUAUUCAGCCUUUUAAAUCAAGAAAUCGUUCUAUCCCAGAAUUCACUGUAGCGUAAAUAUAACAAAUGUCCAUGUAUGACUGCUUUUGUGAAUCUACAGUGAUGUUCACUCUCCAGUUGUGAGCUGAAACAGUUAAUAAAUGUACACCUAAAUAUCGUGUGUGAGUGUAAGCGAGCGUACACGUGCGUGUUCCAAGCAACUGCUGUUGUUUCAAUAAAAGCUUUUUGUAAAAUUUA
Molecule: long non-coding RNA, 1240 nt
Organism: Sander lucioperca (pikeperch)
Lineage: Eukaryota; Metazoa; Chordata; Actinopteri; Perciformes; Percidae
Exons: 3
Source: RefSeq, a predicted model, not a curated record